AAACAGAGUUACAACAUUUACAAAGGUCUGCUGUGAUUUAAUGCUUCCCUCAGCAGGAACAGCACUGGCAGUCAAUUAAAAUGCUGAAGGAGAAAUUAAGUGAAGGAGCAGAUGAACCAAGCAGAUGAAAGACAACGUAGCAAACUGAGCCCUAAUUGCUGUACUCAUAAAUGCUCAGUCAGGAAUGAAAGUACUGUGGUUCCAAAAUAAGACUGCCCAAGUUCAGAGAGCUUCAGAAGAGGAGUUCAGGCUCAGAACUGAAUUUGUCAAUUAUUCACAGGACAUUGUGGUACUGGCACAGGGAGGAAAAGAGGCCAGAGCUGAUGAUCAAAGGUUUAUUAAGAUUUCCACGAUGGAAAAUCUUUGGUGUUGGCAUGCUGGAAUUGGAAGUGAUGCGUUGGCACAGCUGUCAGCUCCCACGACCUGUAAAAAUAAAAGCAAAUUUU
This 446-nucleotide long non-coding RNA is filed under the name Cyanistes caeruleus (blue tit). RNAcentral's name for it is "lncRNA (ENSCCEG00000004418.1)". Lineage: Eukaryota; Metazoa; Chordata; Aves; Passeriformes; Paridae. The record is from RNAcentral.